This 959-nucleotide ribosomal RNA is filed under the name Geastrum cf. plicatum MA-Fungi 87322. RNAcentral's name for it is "LSU rRNA". It matches the Rfam family "Eukaryotic large subunit ribosomal RNA", at positions 1 to 940 of the family's 3401-position model. The record is from RNAcentral. Lineage: Eukaryota; Fungi; Basidiomycota; Agaricomycetes; Geastrales; Geastraceae.
UUUGGCCUCAAAUCAGGUAGGACUACCCGCUGAACUUAAGCAUAUCAAUAAGCGGAGGAAAAGAAACUAACAAGGAUUCCCCUAGUAACUGCSAGUGAAGAGGGAAAAGCUCAAAUUUGAAAUCUGGCAGUCUACGGCUGUCCGAGUUGUAAUCUAGAGAAGUGUUUUCCGUGCUGGACCGUGUACAAGUCCUUUGGAACAAGGCGUCAUAGAGGGUGAGAAUCCCGUCUACGACACGGACUCCCAGUGCUCUGUGAUACACUCUCAACGAGUCGAGUUGUUUGGGAAUGCAGCUCAAAAUGGGUGGUAAAUUCCAUCUAAAGCUAAAUAUAGGCGAAAGACCGAUAGCGAACAAGUACCGUGAGGGAAAGAUGAAAAGCACUUUGGAAAGAGAGUUAAACAGUACGUGAAAUUGUUGAAAGGGAAACGCUUGAAGUCAGUCGCGUCUUCAGAAACUCARCCUGGCUUCUGCCUGGUGUACUUUUCUGUUGGACGGGCCAGCAUCAGUUUCGGCCGCCAGAAAAAGGUGGGAGGAAGGUGGCACCCUCGGGUGUGUUAUAGCCUCUCAUCGUAUGUGGUGGCUGGGACUGAGGACCGCAGCACGCCUCUAAUGGCCGGGGUUCGCCCACGUAACGUGCUUAGGAUGCUGGCGUAAUGGCUUUAAACGACCCGUCUUGAAACACGGACCAAGGAGUCUAACAUGCCUGCGAGUAUUUGGGUGGUAUACCCAUAUGCGGAAUGAAAGUGAACAGUUGGGACUUCUGUCAUGGAAGGCACCGACGCCCGGCCCAGACCUAUUGUGACGGAUCCGAGGUAGAGCAUGUAUGUUGGGACCCGAAAGAUGGUGAACUAUGCCUGAGUAGGGUGAAGCCAGAGGAAACUCUGGUGGAGGCUCGUAGCGAUUCUGACGUGCAAAUCGAUCGUCGAACUYGGGUAUAGGGGCGAAAGACUAAUCGAAC